Molecule: transfer RNA, 88 nt
Filed under: SAR324 cluster bacterium
Lineage: Bacteria; Deltaproteobacteria
Also listed under: 1 other name
Description: tRNA-Lys
Source: RNAcentral
ACCAAUCCUGUUAACCUAUGGAAAAUGGCUGUUGAAAAGAGGUUUCUUAAACAGCAGGUCAGCGGUUCAAUUCCGCUAGGUGGUUCCA